GGACGGUGGCCGCGCCUCCAGUACCUCGCUGUCUCCGGCAACGAGCUCGGCGGGAAAAUACCGCCGGAGAUCGGGAACCUGACCAGCCUCCGGGAGCUCUACAUCGGUUACUACAACACCUACGUGGACGGCAUUCCGCCGGAGAUCGGGAACUUGUCAGAGUUGGUGAGGUUGGACGCUGCGUACUGUGGUUUGUCCGGCGAGAUUACACCGGCGCUGGGUAAGCUGCAGAAGCUGGACACGCUGUUCCUUCAGGUGAAUGCGCUAACAGGGC
This 274-nucleotide long non-coding RNA is filed under the name Vigna radiata. RNAcentral describes it as "long non-coding RNA (VRAD_LNC010860)". The record is from RNAcentral. Lineage: Eukaryota; Viridiplantae; Streptophyta; Magnoliopsida; Fabales; Fabaceae.